Tripterygium wilfordii is the source of this 706-nucleotide long non-coding RNA. RefSeq lists it as uncharacterized. The transcript has 2 exons. Lineage: Eukaryota; Viridiplantae; Streptophyta; Magnoliopsida; Celastrales; Celastraceae. The record is from RefSeq and is a predicted model, not a curated record.
CAGCAAUUUUCGUUUUUUUUUUUCCCCUUUUUUCUUUUUAUGAACCCUAAUUUAUUUCGUGUUUAAUUGGAAGAAAGAUCGUGUUUGGGAGAAAUGGAGAAUCGUUGUUGGUAAACAGAUAAGCCAAAAACAGUUCUCUUCCUUCCCAUGCUCGGCUACCAUCAGAUUGAAUGAAAGGGAUGACCAGCAGAGGAGAAAAAUGGACUGAUAUUUUGCUUUAAAGUUUUCCUCCAGUACUGUUGGAAUUCUAGGAAGAUGGUUGCAGUAGUUGAUGAUUGAGAUUUUGUACUCCAGCAUCUGAAGCAAUAGCACAGUUUUAAGCCUCUGUUAGAAAAGUGAGCAACUGGUUGUUAUUUACUUGACCUCCUCUACAGAAUUUUGCAGCAUCUAAUGAUCGCUGACCAGUCUAUUUAGCGUGAGAAAAAGGGGCAUGAAACAGAACAGGGAAGAGGAUCGAAAUGCAUCCUGCAACAUCACUGUCCCUCAGAUUAGAUUUUUGUGUUGCUAAGACUUUAACAUAUUCAAAUAAUCAUGCUAAGUUGGGGAACCAAAUUAUAGACUGGAACUAUAAUUCCUUACAGUAAAACACAACUGUUCGUGUUCUGUUAGAUGAAUCGGUCAUGUUCCCUUCUUUUUUUGUUGUGAGAGAGGAGUAAAAGAUGGAGGACAGUGGCUUUGAGUCGUCUGUUCUUACUGAAUGCAUGCA